This 438-nucleotide ribosomal RNA is filed under the name uncultured bacterium. RNAcentral describes it as "partial 16S ribosomal RNA". It matches the Rfam family "Bacterial small subunit ribosomal RNA", at positions 339 to 795 of the family's 1533-position model. The record is from RNAcentral.
CUACGGGUCGCUGCAGUGAGGAAUAUUGCACAAUGGGGGGAACCCUGAUGCAGCAACGCCGCGUGGAGGAUGACGCAUUUCGGUGUGUAAACUCCUUUUAUAUGUCAAGAAAAUGACGGUAGCAUAUGAAUAAGCACCGGCUAACUCCGUGCCAGCAGCCGCGGUAAUACGGAGGGUGCAAGCGUUACUCGGAAUCACUGGGCGUAAAGGACGCGUAGGCGGGUGGGAAAGUCAGGUGUGAAAUCCUACAGCUUAACUGUAGAACUGCACUUGAAACUUCUAAUCUAGAGUAUGGAGGGGGAGAUGGAAUUAGUGGUGUAGGGGUAAAAUCCGUAGAUAUCACUAGGAAUACCUAAAGCGAAGGCGAUCUCCUGGAACAUUACUGACGCUAAGGCGUGAAAGCGUGGGGAGCAAACAGGAUUAGAUACCCUCGUAGUC